CCUACGGGUGGCAGCAGUAGGGAAUAUUGCACAAUGGGCGAAAGCCUGAUGCAGCAACGCCGCGUGUGCGAAGAAGGCCUUCGGGUCGUAAAGCACUUUUCGGGGAGACGAGGAAGGACGGUACCCCCGGAAUAAGGAUCGGCUAACUACGUGCCAGCAGCCGCGGUAACACGUAGGAUCCGAGCGUUAUCCGAAUUCACUGGGCGUAAAGCGCGUGUAGGCGGUUAGAUAAGUUGGAUGUAAAAUCUCCUGGCUCAACUGGGAGAGGCCGUUCAAAACU
Molecule: ribosomal RNA, 280 nt
Filed under: uncultured bacterium
Lineage: Bacteria
Description: partial 16S ribosomal RNA
Rfam family: Bacterial small subunit ribosomal RNA
Source: RNAcentral